GACGAACGCUGGCGGCGUGCUUAACACAUGCAAGUCGAACGGAAAGGCCCUGCUUUUGUGGGGUGCUCGAGUGGCGAACGGGUGAGUAACACGUGAGUAACCUGCCCUUGACUUUGGGAUAACUUCAGGAAACUGGGGCUAAUACCGGAUAGGAGCUCCUGCUGCAUGGUGGGGGUUGGAAAGUUUCGGCGGUUGGGGAUGGACUCGCGGCUUAUCAGCUUGUUGGUGGGGUAGUGGCUUACCAAGGCUUUGACGGGUAGCCGGCCUGAGAGGGUGACCGGCCACAUUGGGACUGAGAUACGGCCCAGACUCCUACGGGAGGCAGCAGUGGGGAAUAUUGCACAAUGGGCGGAAGCCUGAUGCAGCAACGCCGCGUGCGGGAUGACGGCCUUCGGGUUGUAAACCGCUUUCGCCUGUGACGAAGCGUGAGUGACGGUAAUGGGUAAAGAAGCACCGGCUAACUACGUGCCAGCAGCCGCGGUGAUACGUAGGGUGCGAGCGUUGUCCGGAUUUAUUGGGCGUAAAGGGCUCGUAGGUGGUUGAUCGCGUCGGAAGUGUAAUCUUGGGGCUUAACCCUGAGCGUGCUUUCGAUACGGGUUGACUUGAGGAAGGUAGGGGAGAAUGGAAUUCCUGGUGGAGCGGUGGAAUGCGCAGAUAUCAGGAGGAACACCAGUGGCGAAGGCGGUUCUCUGGGCCUUUCCUGACGCUGAGGAGCGAAAGCGUGGGGAGCGAACAGGCUUAGAUACCCUGGUAGUCCACGCUGUAAACGGUGGGUACUAGGUGUGGGGUCCAUUCCACGGGUUCCGUGCCGUAGCUAACGCUUUAAGUACCCCGCCUGGGGAGUACGGCCGCAAGGCUAAAACUCAAAGGAAUUGACGGGGCCCCGCACAAGCGGCGGAGCAUGCGGAUUAAUUCGAUGCAACGCGUAGAACCUUACCUGGGUUUGACAUGGAUCGGGAGUGCUCAGAGAUGGGUGUGCCUCUUUUGGGGUCGGUUCACAGGUGGUGCAUGGCUGUCGUCAGCUCGUGUCGUGAGAUGUUGGGUUAAGUCCCGCAACGAGCGCAACCCUUGUUCACUGUUGCCAGCACGUUAUGGUGGGGACUCAGUGGAGACCGCCGGGGUCAACUCGGAGGAAGGUGGGGAUGACGUCAAGUCAUCAUGCCCCUUAUGUCCAGGGCUUCACGCAUGCUACAAUGGCUGGUACAGCGAGUGGCGAGCCUGUGAGGGUGAGCGAAUCUCGGAAAGCCGGUCUCAGUUCGGAUUGGGGUCUGCAACUCGACCUCAUGAAGUCGGAGUCGCUAGUAAUCGCAGAUCAGCAACGCUGCGGUGAAUAAAUUCCCGGGGCU
RNAcentral lists this ribosomal RNA (1346 nucleotides) under uncultured bacterium. RNAcentral describes it as "partial 16S ribosomal RNA". It matches the Rfam family "Bacterial small subunit ribosomal RNA", at positions 28 to 1381 of the family's 1533-position model. The record is from RNAcentral.